ACUCGAGUGGCGAACGGGUGAGUAACACGUGGGUGAUCUGCCCUGCACUUCGGGAUAAGCCUGGGAAACUGGGUCUAAUACCGGAUAGGAGCCAUUUUUAGUGUGAUGGUUGGAAAGUUUUUUCGGUGUAGGAUGAGCUCGCGGCCAAUCAGCUUGUUGGUGGGGUAAUGGCCUACCAAGGCGGCGACGGGUAGCCGGCCUGAGAGGGUGGACGGCCACAUUGGGACUGAGAUACGGCCCAG
This 242-nucleotide ribosomal RNA is filed under the name uncultured Actinomycetales bacterium. RNAcentral describes it as "partial 16S ribosomal RNA". It matches the Rfam family "Bacterial small subunit ribosomal RNA", at positions 89 to 334 of the family's 1533-position model. Lineage: Bacteria; Bacillati; Actinomycetota; Actinomycetes; Actinomycetales. The record is from RNAcentral.